UGGGUAACCGGCGAACGGGUGCGUAACGCGUGAGCGACCUGCCUUUCCGCGGGGGAUAGCCGGCCCAACGGCCGGGUAAUACCGCAUACGCUUGUCCUGGGGCAUCCCGGGAUAAGGAAACCUCCGGGGCGGAGAGAGGGGCUCGCGACCUAUCAGCUAGUUGGCGGGGUAACGGCUCACCAAGGCGGCGACGGGUAGCUGGUCUGAGAGGAUGGCCAGCCACAUUGGGACUGAGAUACGGCCCAG
Molecule: ribosomal RNA, 246 nt
Filed under: uncultured bacterium
Lineage: Bacteria
Description: partial 16S ribosomal RNA
Rfam family: Bacterial small subunit ribosomal RNA
Source: RNAcentral